CCCGGCGACCGGCGCACGGGUGAGUAACGCGUGUGCAACCUGCCCGGCACAGUGGGAUAAUCCGGAGAAAUCCGGUCUAAUACCGCAUGACGCGGGAAAGGCGCAUGCCCUUUCCGGCCAAAGGGGGCGACUCCGGUCACGGAUGGGCAUGCGGCGCAUUAGGUAGUUGGUGGGGCAACGGCCCACCAAGCCGACGAUGCGUAGGGGUUCUGAGAGGAAGGUCCCCCACAUUGGAACUGAGACACGGUCCAAACUCCUACGGAAGGCAGCAG
This 272-nucleotide ribosomal RNA is filed under the name uncultured bacterium. Its description in RNAcentral is "partial 16S ribosomal RNA". It matches the Rfam family "Bacterial small subunit ribosomal RNA", at positions 87 to 354 of the family's 1533-position model. The record is from RNAcentral.